RNAcentral lists this ribosomal RNA (444 nucleotides) under [Eubacterium] brachy. RNAcentral's name for it is "bacterial SSU rRNA". It matches the Rfam family "Bacterial small subunit ribosomal RNA", at positions 28 to 456 of the family's 1533-position model. The record is from RNAcentral. Lineage: Bacteria; Bacillati; Bacillota; Clostridia; Peptostreptococcales; Anaerovoracaceae.
GAUGAACGCGGCGGCGUGCUUAACACAUGCAAGUCGAGCGAGAAGUUUUGAAAAGAUUCUUCGGAUGAAAUUUAAAAUGGAAAGCGGCGGACGGGUGAGUAACGCGUAGGCAACCUGCCCCAUACAAAGGGAUAGCAUUUGGAAACGAAUAUUAAUACCUUAUGAAACUUAACUAGUGCAUGCUAGGUAGGUCAAAGAUUUAUCGGUAUGGGAUGGGCCUGCGUCUGAUUAGCUAGUUGGUGAGGUAACGGCUCACCAAGGCGACGAUCAGUAGCCGACCUGAGAGGGUGAACGGCCACAUUGGAACUGAGACACGGUCCAAACUCCUACGGGAGGCAGCAGUGGGGAAUAUUGCACAAUGGGGGAAACCCUGAUGCAGCAACGCCGCGUGAACGAUGAAGGCCUUUGGGUCGUAAAGUUCUGUUCUAGGUGAUGAAAAACUGA